GACAGAGGCCCCCGAGCGUUAGGCGGAAUCACUGGGCUUAAAGCGUGUGUAGGCGGACUUCUAAGUAUCUUGUGAAAAUCCCACGGCUCACCCCGUGGAACUGCUGGAUAUACUGGGAGUCUUGAGUCGUGCAGGGGGCAGCCGGAACAAGCGGUGGAGCGGUGAAAUGCGUAGAUAUCAAGUGGAACACCAGUGGCGAAGGCGAGUCCCUGGACAUUUCCUGACACUGAGGCACGAAAGCUAGGGGAGCAAACAGG
This 257-nucleotide ribosomal RNA is filed under the name uncultured bacterium. Its description in RNAcentral is "partial 16S ribosomal RNA". It matches the Rfam family "Bacterial small subunit ribosomal RNA", at positions 524 to 776 of the family's 1533-position model. The record is from RNAcentral.